RNAcentral lists this ribosomal RNA (253 nucleotides) under uncultured bacterium. RNAcentral's name for it is "partial 16S ribosomal RNA". It matches the Rfam family "Bacterial small subunit ribosomal RNA", at positions 524 to 776 of the family's 1533-position model. The record is from RNAcentral.
UACGGGGGGGGCAAGCGUUGUUCGGAAUUACUGGGCGUAAAGGGUUCGUAGGUGGCUGGCUAAGUCAGACGUGAAAUCCCUCAGCUUAACUGGGGAACUGCGUCUGAGACUGGUCGGCUCGAGUGCAGGAGAGGAACGCGGAAUUCCAGGUGUAGCGGUGAAAUGCGUAGAUAUCUGGAGGAACACCGGUGGCGAAGGCGGCGUUCUGGACUGCAACUGACACUGAGGAACGAAAGCCAGGGGAGCAAACGGG